This 22-nucleotide non-coding RNA is filed under the name Arabidopsis thaliana (thale cress). The record is from RNAcentral. Lineage: Eukaryota; Viridiplantae; Streptophyta; Magnoliopsida; Brassicales; Brassicaceae.
CUGCUGGUAACACCUAAAGCCU